AGAGUUUGAUCCUGGCUCAGAACGAACGCUGGCGGCGUGGUUAAGGCAUGCAAGUCGAACGAGAAAGUCACCUUCGGGUGGCGAGUAAAGUGGCGAAAGGGUGAGGAAUGCUUGGAUAACCUGCCCUCGAGCGGGGCAUAGCCCACCGAAAGGUGGAUUAAUACCGCAUACGAUCCCGAUGAGGCAUCUCAUCAGGAUGAAGGGAGGCGUCCUUCGGGGCGUUUUCACUCGAGGAGGGGUCCAAGUCGUAUCAGCUUGUUGGUAGGGUAACGGCCUACCAAGGCGACGACGCGUAUGGGGCCUGAGAGGGUGAUCCCACACACUGGGACUGAGACACUGCCCAGACUCCUACGGGAGGCUGCAGUCGAGAAUCUUUGGCAAUGGACGAAAGUCUGACCAAGCGACGCCGCGUGGAGGAGGAAGGCCUUCGGGUUGUAAACUCCUGUCAGGGGGCAAGAAUAAGCGCGCUAACCCCGCGUGAUGACUACUCCCAAAGGAAGCACCGGCUAACUCCGUGCCAGCAGCCGCGGUAAUACGGAGGGUGCAAGCGUUAAUCGGAAUUACUGGGCGUAAAGCGUUCGUAGGCGGUUAUUUAAGUUAGAUGUGAAAGCCCCGGGCUUAACCUGGGAACUGCAUUUAAAACUGGAUAACUCGAGUUUAGGAGAGGGAAGUGGAAUUUCAGGUGUAGCAGUGAAAUGCGUAGAGAUCUGAAGGAACACCAGUGGCGAAGGCGACUUCCUGGACUAAAACUGACGCUGAGGAACGAAAGCGUGGGUAGCAAACGGGAUUAGAUACCCCGGUAGUCCACGCCGUAAACGAUGUCAACUAGCCGUUGG
RNAcentral lists this ribosomal RNA (836 nucleotides) under uncultured sediment bacterium. RNAcentral describes it as "bacterial SSU rRNA". It matches the Rfam family "Bacterial small subunit ribosomal RNA", at positions 8 to 826 of the family's 1533-position model. The record is from RNAcentral.